CACCUGAAUGCAGCAUUCGUCUACCGUCGCACAUGACAUCAGAUCCCAGCCACGCAAAUGUUUGGCUAGUGCUAACUGCUAACAUGGACCGUUGGGUAAACAAGUGUAGCUACACCUUGUGAGCUGGCAGAAGAUUGGUCCGGACUAUUGUACCCUUCCUAAGGAUAUCACAGAUCCAGUUACUGCACAAGCAAUGGCACUCCCUUCAUUUGGAGAUCUGCUCACUGCCCCUGCGACCCUGCCCCGGCCUCACUCUGCGCUCGGCUCGCUGACCUUAAGAUAACGCCUCCGAGAGAUACUUCAAUCCAAGAUUCACGGAGGUGCAGGCCCACCUCUGCUACAAAAACAGCGCAGGCAACCGUGAUGAUGGGUGCGGAUGAAAGAUGACUUAUGAACGAGGUGAAACUGGCUCAGUAGGAAUCUGUGACUUGCGAGAGGGUCUGCCUAUGGGACAAAAAAAAAAAAAAAAAAAAAAUAUCCAAAGCAGAGUCCAGCCACGGAGAGCAGCCUUUGCACUCCUUACUCCAUGCCCACCCAGGUCCGUCCACAGAGGGGCUUCCACCCCAGUGGAAACAGGCUGGUCUGGUUACCCACCGUGGAGAUGAUGGAUUGACGGCUCACUUACGGGAAAAAGGCCGGGGCCUUCAGCCUUCAUUUCCCUGCAGUAGGCCUACCAAGCAAUGAUCCAUGGGAAGCCAAAUCAACAAGGAAAUUGGGCUAGAUCUUUGCCCUCCCGAAUGCAGUACAAAAGCCAUUUUGCUCAUUACCCUGCCACGAGGAACGUUGACCAACAUUACUCUCCGAUUGGUCCCGACGCCAGUAAUUUCAUCUCCUAACAAUCUGAUCCUGACAAAUUAAUUUCUGCUCCAUUUUUUUAUUUAUUUUUUUAUGCUGAAAAGAACCCCUUCAAUUCAGCAGUGACAAAAACGGAGUCGGACAAAGUGAGAUAAUUUAAGUGACUGUAAAUGGUGAUUGACCAAAGCUCCAACCGCCUGGCUCUUCCAAAGACAGGCAAGUCUACGUUACCUAAAGAAAAAGCUGCUGUAAAAAUGUACCCCAUAUAAAUAAGAGGAAAUUAAUUAAAUGCAGGGCGGGCGGUUUGGCGCCAUGGAAAGAAUACACAAUUUAGAGUCUUGCGCCAAGGAGCCAAAUGGACAAAAUGAAGGUGAUCAGUCAUAUUUUGCUGCUUUUUGACAUUAAGCAUAUGCUUUUUUUUUCUUCUAAGAGGUCAGCUAAGCAAUUUAGACAAAUUGGACAAAAUUGCAAAGGUAAACAUAGGGAGCGGUCUCGUAAUGUUUCUUUCACUCUCUCUUUCUUUCCCUCAGUCUCAUUCUCAGACACUAUUUUGUUUAGUAAAUCCCUUACCUAAAUUUUCUGUGACGGUAACGGUGAGACAAAACGACUCCGUCAGGGCUAUCGGGGGGGGGCUGGACUGUGUUAUGGGUGUUUGACUGCAUCACCGUCUGCCGAGGCCAACUCAAACUACACUCCUUUGCCCCAGAAAAUACUUAUUCAACUACUACAACUUUAUGGUCCAAGGUUUCUUUCAAUGAAUGGAUAUGUCUGAUACUUGUUGAUAGUUGUUGCUGCCUUAGAGCGAUUUCAUAGGAUAGAUCAGGGGUGUCAAACAUACAACUGGCCUGCCAAAGAGUCCAAUUUGGAGGACUUUGCAAAGUGAAAAAAAUUGCAGAGAAGUCAUUAGUUUUAAUUGCACUGCUAUUCUUAUUGUCAACUGGGGGUCUCACUGUCCCAAUAAUACGUGACACACCACUGUCAAGUGUAGGUUACUGUUAAUUUAGCAGCCACCGGUGGAAAAUGCAUUUGUCAAAAAUGAGACGCAGUGUCGAGUUUUCUAAGAAAAACAAUGGACCAGUUCCUAUUUCUUCACAGAGGUAAGUGGGAAGCCAGUGCCCAAGUAAUAUAAUAUUCAGCAUUAUCAUCGCAAUGGUUUUCUUGGCCGGCCCAUUUGAAAUCAAAUUGGUCUGCAUGUGGCCCAUUAACUAAGAUGAGUUUGACACCCCUGGAAUACAUAAUAUGAGCUUUCAGUUUUCAGUAUGUCUAACGCUUUGUUUAAAAAUGAGAAAUGUGACUGUUGUUGAUGUGCCACUUACACUGUACAUUUUCUGCACCUUGUGUUGCCUUCAUCAGCCCGUAGGAACUUUACGCAAAUGUCUCAUUUCUAACCGGAAUUUUUUUUAUGACAAUCUACAACUACAACACUGUAGUUGCCAGACAGUAGAGUAGGUUCCAUGUGAACAUCUAGUUUGGAAGCUUUGCAAUCCGCUUUUGUAAUAUUCACCCAGUGCGCACAGAGCCCAAAAGUGAUCUCCAAGUUUUUGAAAGGCUUUGGUUCCGGAAGUGAAUUACCCAUUCAUUCACUCCAUUGACCUUUCAGAAAAUCCUUAUAUAGAGUUUUAAGUCUGGAACUAAGCCAACAACUAUUAGAUGAAUCAUGACCAUUUUGAUUCAGAGCAAAAAAAUAAAAAAUUGGAUAACCGAAAGAAAAAAAAAAAAGGCAAAGGUGCAAGACUGUACAUGACGAUCAAAGAGUUCAGUGUGCAGUAAACGUUUCCACGGUAACAGCGAGCUCCACCAAUCGGAGGCGUCGCUGUUUUUCUUAAAACAAGGUUGAUAUCGUACCCACUCGUGGCUUCUACAGGAGCAUACAGUAUACCCUAGUUUGACAAUCUCGUAGCCUGCAGUAAGUAGACCUUUGACAGUUAUAGCAUUAUGGCUAAUGAUCAAAAUCCUUGAUUCAGAAAAUGAAUGGGAUUUUCACUUCCAGAACCGGACUGUUGAGCUCUGUUGUGACAUUGAAUAACUGCUAUGACAUCCACUAGUGUGAAGGGAAGAAGAAAGUUCCUCCUGUCUGCAUUGUUUCAUGCAACUGCCAAAUAAAUCUUUCAAGUACA
This is a long non-coding RNA of Perca flavescens (yellow perch), 2912 nucleotides long. RefSeq lists it as uncharacterized. The transcript is spliced from 5 exons. Lineage: Eukaryota; Metazoa; Chordata; Actinopteri; Perciformes; Percidae. The record is from RefSeq and is a predicted model, not a curated record.